RNAcentral lists this transfer RNA (76 nucleotides) under Bacillus haynesii. RNAcentral describes it as "tRNA-Val". It matches the Rfam family "tRNA". Rfam says of the family: Transfer RNA (tRNA) molecules are approximately 80 nucleotides in length. Their secondary structure includes four short double-helical elements and three loops (D, anti-codon, and T loops). Lineage: Bacteria; Bacillati; Bacillota; Bacilli; Caryophanales; Bacillaceae. The record is from RNAcentral.
GGAGGAUUAGCUCAGCUGGGAAAGCAUCUGCCUUACAAGCAGAGGGUCGGCGGUUCGAUCCCGUCAUCCUCCACCA